AAGAGGCAAUGAAAUUGGAAGAGUUCAUUGACUGCUCUGGAAGAGGAAGUUCAAAACCUGAUCAGUGCAACGGAACACUUCUGAUGGGCAUCUGGUGAGGUGUGUAUGUGUGUGUGUGUGUCUGUGUGUGUGUGUGUAUGCUAUGCGUGUGGGCUGAAUAAUGAGGCAAAUAAUGGUUUCUUC
Molecule: non-coding RNA, 183 nt
Organism: Podarcis lilfordi (Lilford's wall lizard)
Lineage: Eukaryota; Metazoa; Chordata; Lepidosauria; Squamata; Lacertidae
Source: the annotation of a GenBank genome assembly